CUAACCCUGCUGCAGACCCCUCCCUAACCCUGAUGCAGAUCCUUCCCUAACCCUGCUGCAGAUCCCUCCCUAACCCUGCUGCAGAUCCCUCGGCGCACGCACCCGCUCCACGGCCAGAUGGCCUUCCUCUGACAUCUGCCCGCCAUUCCGUCCUAUCCAGGACACACGACAAUACUGAGAAACAAAGAAACAGCCCAGAAGCACCUACUUAGUGGGACAAUAACUCAGUGGAGUUGGGCGCUACUGCCCUCACUAUGGAAAAGGAAGUUGAAGACAAAAAAAUGUUACCACGGGCCACAAACUGAUAAAUAAGGUUAUCAUUUCCCCUCCGGGUCAUAGUUUUCUCCCUCGUAGUUCGUCACUGCAUCUACCUCUCACGCCUGGAUUUCUCUGCCUCUUCUCUCACCCGCUGCCCGCGAGCAGGGAUUACCCUCUCGCCAACACAUACCCACAUUCCCUUCUCAGACCCGCUGUGAGUUCUGAGUACCGCCUCUCCUGCGUCUUCCCUCUCCUUUUCACCAGCUUUCACCACGGUUUGGAAACAUACUCGGGUGGCUCUUGCCUUAGAAUUAAAGAUUUUAUUCUUUCCACUUCGUCAUUCUCAUAGCUCCCCACCUGCUGUCUCCAGUAAUCAGGUACUUAGUUCAGUCCUUGACAUCUCGUUCCACAACACCCUACAGGGCGACUUUCCAGUCUCCUGAAACUGCUGUCUCAGGGUACUGGGGCCCCUUCCUAUAACACUCUGCUAAAUGACGCCCCACCACCACCACAGUUCUUGAUUUUAGCGAGCGUUUAACCUGAAGAGCAAACUGACAGUUCUCAGACAAACACUGGUAGGGAAUCCAUUAAUUGCCAAGGUCGGCUGGGGAUGUAGCUCAGCAGCACAGCGCCUGCCUGGCAAGCGCGAGGGCGUGAGUUCAGUUCCCGGUACUGGAAAAAAAAAAAAAAAAAAGCCAAGGUCACUUGGCAGUUGUGUUCUGGGGGAAGCAGGGACCAAGAAAGUCCCAGAUCCUGAGUGGGGCCGGACGAAGAAAGGGAAAUCUGCCCAGAAGAAGUGAUACAAACACAGCCCCUGCAUCUGAGCCUCCUCGGCAGGGACCAAGCACGCACCCUCCUCAAGUCCAGCCAGUAUUGCCGAGAUAGUCUCUCCAAGUCACCUGCUGGGAAUGGCUGAAGCUGGAAGAUAAUUAUCCACGCACAGUGAAGCCAGCCCGAGAACACAGGAGCUCCUCAAAGCACGUCAACAAGCCGUUGUAGCUUGUCAACUGAUUGCUGGACAGAAAAGCUGAAAGUAAUCAACCUCUCAAGAGUAUAAAAUAAACACUGUACUGUUCUUGGGCAGUUCUUCACUAGGAGAGAGAGGGCCUCCACCUGACCCCAGCUUUUUGUCUCUUGUCUAUUUUUUCAUCAUUCUCACCGCCAUUUCUUCUGAGGGUACAGCAAGAACCCAAUGGAUCCAUACAGUCAUCAGUCUCUGGGUUCAAAACUUAGAAACUUAAGUGCAUUUAGGUUACAUCACUGGAUUUUAUUUAUGUCUCUUAGGAGAAAACAGAACUUUAAAAAUACUGUACAUUCUUCAUAAUCCAAUGCCAUAGACAGAUUUAUUUGUUUUUUUCUCUUUCUUUCUUUCUUUCUUUCUUUCUUUCUUUCUUUC
Chinchilla lanigera (long-tailed chinchilla) is the source of this 1654-nucleotide long non-coding RNA. RefSeq lists it as uncharacterized. NCBI's taxonomy places the organism in Eukaryota, Metazoa, Chordata, Mammalia, Rodentia, Chinchillidae. The record is from RefSeq and is a predicted model, not a curated record. The transcript is spliced from 3 exons.